Molecule: ribosomal RNA, 624 nt
Filed under: Escherichia coli
Lineage: Bacteria; Pseudomonadati; Pseudomonadota; Gammaproteobacteria; Enterobacterales; Enterobacteriaceae
Description: bacterial SSU rRNA
Rfam family: Bacterial small subunit ribosomal RNA
Source: RNAcentral
AAUUGACGGGGGCCCGCACAAGCGGUGGAGCAUGUGGUUUAAUUCGAUGCAACGCGAAGAACCUUACCUGGUCUUGACAUCCACGGAAGUUUUCAGAGAUGAGAAUGUGCCUUCGGGAACCGUGAGACAGGUGCUGCAUGGCUGUCGUCAGCUCGUGUUGUGAAAUGUUGGGUUAAGUCCCGCAACGAGCGCAACCCUUAUCCUUUGUUGCCAGCGGUCCGGCCGGGAACUCAAAGGAGACUGCCAGUGAUAAACUGGAGGAAGGUGGGGAUGACGUCAAGUCAUCAUGGCCCUUACGACCAGGGCUACACACGUGCUACAAUGGCGCAUACAAAGAGAAGCGACCUCGCGAGAGCAAGCGGACCUCAUAAAGUGCGUCGUAGUCCGGAUUGGAGUCUGCAACUCGACUCCAUGAAGUCGGAAUCGCUAGUAAUCGUGGAUCAGAAUGCCACGGUGAAUACGUUCCCGGGCCUUGUACACACCGCCCGUCACACCAUGGGAGUGGGUUGCAAAAGAAGUAGGUAGCUUAACCUUCGGGAGGGCGCUUACCACUUUGUGAUUCAUGACUGGGGUGAAGUCGUAACAAGGUAACCGUAGGGGAACCUGCGGUUGGAUCACCUCCUU